This 107-nucleotide small nuclear RNA is filed under the name Catagonus wagneri (Chacoan peccary). The record is from RNAcentral. Lineage: Eukaryota; Metazoa; Chordata; Mammalia; Artiodactyla; Tayassuidae.
GUACUCCCUUAGACCGCACAUACACUAAAAUUGAAUUGAUACAGAGAAGAUUAGCAUGGCCCCUGAGGAAAGAUGACAUAGAAAUUUGUGGCACAGUCCAUAUUUUU